CCGAGACUCCAUCUCAAAACAAACAAAUAAACAAACAAACAAACAACCCACAAGCAAAUCCACUAUUAUUAUGGGUUGUCUGACACAACUGAACCUAAUACUAAGUAAUUCAGAAUUUUGUCUUGAAAUGGAGUGCUAAGCAUUAGCUUGGGAAGGUGAUAGGCUGCAGAAACAUAGAUGUUGCAGAAUAGGAAGAAGGUCAUCUCCAUUAGAUGGUAGCAAAAAACAUUGGGUAAAAUUGCAUCUGCUACACCUCAAAAGGCAGACCAUGUGUUAGUGAAAAUGGUAGAAAAAGCCUAGAAUAUUGGUGGUCAGGCAGCUUUUUGCUGCUUUUAGCAAAGUCCUACAGGAGAGAGUUGAAUUCAGCUGAGAGCUAGUCUACAAGCGGAUGUGGAAGGAAAUGUCACUUUGCUAAGGGAGGCACUCUGGGAUGCAGCCUGCACUCUAACUUGACUGGGAGUCUAGCAAUUUGGAGGUGUUUGAAGUGUUAAUUAAGCUGACUGUGUCUGUACCCCAACUUGAACCUGCCCCAAGAGGUGGCUGCAAAAUGACAGCCUCGCUAACAUGUAGCACUGUGGCCCCAAACCCUCUUCAAGCAACUUACUUUACGAGUUCUCUGCCAUCAUGGGAAUCAGCUUAGCUGGUUGCAAAAAUCAAAUCUUACCAAACCUUUUGUUUCAGUAGCUACUAUGUUAAGAGAGAGAGACAGGUGUGGCCAAACACUGGCCAGUAAGUAAAAAGCCUGAGACUUUAGGCUUAAAAGCUGUGUCUAGAUGACAUUGUUAUGUGUGGUUUUGCACACAUGGAAACAGAUAAACUGGAAGCCUACUAAAAUUUUGAGGGAAUCAUAUUGGAAACAAAAAAACCUGUGAGCAGCAUUCUGUAGAGUAAUGCCUGUGUUCCAGAGACUGCAUUAGCAGGAAGAGUGUGUGAAAGGAGAUUGUGUGUGCCCUCCAAGGCCCAUUUCAGAUGUGGUCAAGAGGAUGAUGGAUAAAGGAGAAACUUCCAGAAGGAAAAGCCAGGGCCAGUGGACAAGGGAAUUAUUCUCAGAAAGGAGAGUGAGAAGCUGCCAGAGUGUCCAACCAAGGAAAUGACUUCACUAUGAAUCAGGACAGGAGCCUUUGCUAUUCCUGCCCAGUGGGUUAUGUAAUAGUUAUGGGCCAGUGACUUCUGGGCAUUUCCCCUUCUCCCCAUUUCCAAAUGGGAGUCUUUAGAAAUUGUUGUUAUCUUGUUUCUUCUCUAUCAUUUUAAAUUUAGGUAUGUGAUGGGAAGAUAACUCACUAUUAGCAUAUAGAUCACCUGACCACUGAGAGCUGCAUCUGGGCCUGAUGGAGAGGACUGGGCACCAGUCAUACACUCUGGAUUUAAGCUGAAUGCAGUUACUGAUUGGGUUAUUGCCUUCUUUUAUGGAAAGGAUGGUUGAAUCCAAUCCUGUAACGGGACGUUAAGACAGAAAGCACACUAAUAGGAGAAUGAAAACGUCUACUUCCCAGGGUUGAUUUAUGACUGCAGGAUGGUGUCUUGACCACCUACUACCUUUAUUGACGGAAAGUAACACCCCUCAAAGAACCUUCCAUAUAUUUAUGGGUGUUUUCAGGAAUGGAAGACACCACUGUCUGCUUUUCCCAAAUUCAUUCUCCCAUCCAACCCCAACACCAGUACAUGUUCCCAGUCCAGGCACAGGACAGAUGGACUUUCCUGAGCCACAGGAGUUUGCAACCCUCGUGCUGACCUGAGACCUUGUUUUCCACGGGUGCUGUUACACUGCUGUUGGAAGAACACCAGGAGAGGCUCAGCUUCUUGACAGACUCAGCGUAAGGCUUUCUCCUGGGCAUGAGACAGUGGCCAAGGAAGGCCCAUGGAAGCUCUUUUUGCUUAAAUCGAGCAAUGCUACAGAGCUCAUCAAAAUGAAGAGGGCAAUGGGAAGUCUGGAUCCUGGCUCUGAACUCUUCCAGAUCAACGUGUCUCCACCUGGGCAGUUCCAAGUGAGAAGAACCAGAAGUUCUCUGCCUUGGUCAAUAUGGGGGCAGGGUAGAGAUACAUACAGAGGCACAUUGGAAAUGCAGUAGAAAAUGGCUGCAGAUUUAAAACCAGAAGUUAAGAAGAGCAAACUCGAAUGUAUAGCGAGAGAGCUUCAGGCUGGACUGGCUUCCAGCAGAAGUGGGACUGGAAACCUUGGAUUCUGUUGCCUUUUCUCUGUGACGUGGGAAAACAUAGUGAACCCAGAGCACAUGGCUUUCCACCCGGACUGGUUGGUUACUGCUGCCCUAUUCUUUGAUGGAGAUUAAAAAACAAACAAACAAACAUACCUGAUUGCAAUGGUGCUUUGAAACUCCUAGAUCCUGAACUCCUUUGGGGGAACUCUGAGAGUGGGAGCAGGGCCCUCUGCAGCCAAUUCAGCCUCCCAAGCUGGCUAACACCUGGGAGAACCUUGGCAUUUACCCAGAGAAACAUCCUAAUGUGUACCGCAGCAGGGCGUGGUAAAGAACCUAGAAACAUGUCAGUCAGUAGAAGGUGUAUUGGCCCCCAGAAAGCCAAGCAUUUGUCUGAUGAAGCAUAGAGUGGAUUCUGGCUUAUAUCUUUCAUCACUCGGCUGGGUGCUUCAUCAGCGGAAAAGGUAGCAGCUGAGAGCAUUAGCAGAAACAGUCGAUGGGCUAAGCGCUCUGUGAGAGCUGCAGGCUCAAUCAAGGAGGGCUGGGAGCCCAGGUGUGGACUGUCAUGAGAAGUCCACUUGCAGCAGUAGCAGUGGCAGUGAUCUUCAUAAACACAGGCUCACUGUGCUCAGAGCCCCAUUUUCCCACUGACACUGACCAAGAUGCAUCCUGGCUGUGCGCAGACCCCGGAGAGAACUAACCGAUAGUGGCAACACUGGCACAAUGGCCAGCCAAGGAGGGAAAAGCAAAGCAAAGAGGACUGAGGCAAAGCAAAAAGGACUGAAGAUAUGAAGACACAUAUCUCUACUGAGAAGAGCUCUUCAUAGAACAAGGACAAAUGGCCAGCAAGGUGCCAUGCCUGAAAGUAUUCAAAACCAAGUCCAGCUUCCUGGUCUCACCUAUGUCAUCGGAAGUGUGUAGAUUCUAGGCUAAAGGGCUACCUUUGUUCAAUAGGUGGAAACAAACAUUAAGCAUCCUGAAAUUAUUGCUGAACUCGGGGAUGAGGGCAGCUUCGAUUUCUUCUCUGAACAUGGAAUUGUUUGCUGGAUUUUGCAGGCUUGACUCCUUGACUUCAGCAGUGCAGUUGUAGAAACAAGCCAGCAGCAGUGGCCACACCUAAGCUGGGUCGCGCCUUCCAGGCAAGUGUCCCUGCCAAGGUGGGAAAACCUGAGAUGCUCCCCAGUGGGUGCAAAUAUGUGGGAGAAAAUUGAAUAAAAUUUCCCCUGGGGCGCCCCCCAGGAAGCAUGCUUCCUUCUCCACUCUCCGUUUGGCUCUCAUUUUCAGUUCCUCUGUGCCCAGGCAAAACCUUUAUGUUGUUAAAAAUGAAAUUAGAACCGAAAGGAAGCAGGGAGCAGUUGUGGCCAAAGAUGACACUGAAAAAAGGUGGAAAUUGGUGGCAGCAUCAGGUUUUCCCUGCUGGAGUUUGCACCCCUAAAAUAAGCAGGCAGAAAGUUGGCAGGAAAGCAGAGCUGCAGGCCGCUCAGUCAUUGGGUCCCACCACGGGAUACCCAGUGCCGUGCUGACCCCAGAGCAGAUCCAGACUCUCCUCCCGACUCCCUCACCCCUUCCUCUCCUUCGGGGGGCCUCACAGCACCCCCUACCCCCAGCUCUUACCCAUGCAAUGCACAGGCCCUUCCCCAGUUCUGAAGGGAUUUAUGCGUUUUGGAGGAGCAGGUUUUAAAGCCAAAAGGGCUUUUUGGUGAUGUGCAAGAGCCCAAAGGCUGGCACCACGGCCCGGCCGCUGGGUGCAGGCCAGUGAGGCUCAUACUCGCUGGCCCCAGGGGUUGGGGGUUGGGCGUGGGGUGGGGGCUUUCCCUGGAUCCUAGGUGGACCAAGUCAUCUCAGAGGAGUGAGGACUGGAGCGGGAUGCUCAUGCUUCUGUCCUCAAGGGGCAAGCGCUGCAGGGAGAGGCUCCCGGCUGACACCCUUUAGGAGGCCUGGAAUUGGGGCGGCUUUUCCUGACAGAGGGCUGUCUGGCUUGCUGAGCUGGGCUCUGCCAAAAAGCCAUCUGAGCCCUGGCUUUCAUGCUAACGUAAGGAAGUGAUUAGGACUGGAAACUUGAACUUGGAAUGUGGUCUCUCCAGGCCCAGGGUACUUCUAGUGUGCCUCGUUGGGUAAAACAGGCUUUUUCAGCUGCCUUGCCAUGGAGCGGGAAGAGCCCGUAGCUGCGAGGUGUAAGCUGUGGGUCUGGCCUGGCCUGUCGCCCUCAGUGUGAGGGGACAGCACCCUCAGCAUCUCUGGGCCUCACAGGAGGGUCUCAGCCCCUUUCUACCUCAAUAAAUUUUAUGUAAUCAAGUGUGUUAUUCAUUUGGUGUCUUUCUUUCCCCAUAGUUUGUGUAGAAAGGAAGUGGAGUUGUGGUAAAAAGAAACCCAGCGCAGCCAAAACACACAUACACAAACCCCCGGGCAUCUCUCGGUUGAGUUUCGCUUGUCAGAAAGUGCCGCGAAAAGACAGCUUGAUUUUUCUUUAUGCAGCUUGUCUGCAAAUGGCACUUGAACUGAAAUAUUCCCUUUCAUCUUUGUGACAGAAAUAUGAUUCAGUAAUUCUUUGUGAAAAUGUAGAUGAUACGCUGCCGUAGUUAUAGUGAGUUAGGUUUAAGUGGCAAAUGCCUACUGAUAAAGACUUAAUUAAAGACACAAUAGCAGUGGGAGGUCAUUAUAGUAAUUUCAGUCCCGGCUUUAUUGUUGGGGUCCAGUACUGAACUGUAGCAGCACAUUACCACCACAUAGUGUCUUGGUCUGAUGAGACAGUGAUCCGGCUCAGUGUACUUAGACUUUCACUUGCCAUGAGAUCGGGACUUUCUGCAGUUGCCCUGGUUCCACUUUAUUUUCAUGUAGACUUUGUGCCUCAUUUAAAAUACGUGAUAAAAUAAAUCGGUAAUCUCCUAA
This is a long non-coding RNA of Macaca mulatta (Rhesus monkey), 5042 nucleotides long. RefSeq lists it as uncharacterized. The record is from RefSeq and is a predicted model, not a curated record. NCBI's taxonomy places the organism in Eukaryota, Metazoa, Chordata, Mammalia, Primates, Cercopithecidae.